AACUGGGUGAGUACUUGAACAACAUGGCCUCGAAUCCCCAAAACAGCCCAUUCCAGGAGGUAUUAGCAUGCUUGCUUUAAAGAAGAAGAAGCUGAGGCUCAGAGGAACUCAGUGACACAAGGCUACCCGGCUCUCAAGGAGCAGAUCUGAGAUCUCAGCCGGGCCUGUUGGACUCCAGUAGAGACAGGAUUUUGCCAUGUUGGCCAGGCUGGUCUCCAACUCCUGACCUCAAGCGAUCCGCCUCCCUCUGCCUCCCCAAGUGCUGGGAUUACAGGAGUGAGCCACCGUGCCCAGCCCUGAGAACUCUUCUCACCACUCUGAGAAUCACGGCCCCACUUUGGACUUCGAGGCCCACAAGACUGGAUUCUGCCUUCUUCUCUGUGAGACUGUUCACAAAAAUGGCCCUUUCCUAGGCAUAUGCCACUUUAAAAUGGGACUUUACAGCUGUUUCCCAUCAAGGGACAGAAUCCAUUUCUCCAUCCCCUGAA
This is a long non-coding RNA of Pan troglodytes (chimpanzee), 488 nucleotides long. RefSeq lists it as uncharacterized. Lineage: Eukaryota; Metazoa; Chordata; Mammalia; Primates; Hominidae. The record is from RefSeq and is a predicted model, not a curated record. The transcript has 2 exons.